UACGUAGGGUGCAAGCGUUGUCCGGAAUUAUUGGGCGUAAAGAGCUCGUAGGCGGUCUGUUGCGUCGGCUGUGAAAACCCGGGGCUCAACCCCGGGCCUGCAGCCGAUACGGGCAGACUAGAGUUCGGCAGGGGAGACUGGAAUUCCUGGUGUAGCGGUGAAAUGCGCAGAUAUCAGGAGGAACACCGGUGGCGAAGGCGGGUCUCUGGGCCGAUACUGACGCUGGGGGAGCGAAAGCGUGGGGAGCGAACAGG
Molecule: ribosomal RNA, 254 nt
Filed under: uncultured bacterium
Lineage: Bacteria
Description: partial 16S ribosomal RNA
Rfam family: Bacterial small subunit ribosomal RNA
Source: RNAcentral